Molecule: ribosomal RNA, 504 nt
Filed under: uncultured bacterium
Lineage: Bacteria
Description: partial 16S ribosomal RNA
Rfam family: Bacterial small subunit ribosomal RNA
Source: RNAcentral
GACGAACGCUGGCGGCGUGCCUAAUACAUGCAAGUAGAACGCACAGUUUAUACCGUAGCUUGCUACACCAUAAACUGUGAGUUGCGAACGGGUGAGUAACGCGUAGGUAACCUGCCUGGUAGCGGGGGAUAACUAUUGGAAACGAUAGCUAAUACCGCAUAAUAUUGAUUAUUGCAUGAUAAUUGAUUGAAAGAUGCUAUUGCAUCACUACCAGAUGGACCUGCGUUGUAUUAGCUAGUAGGUGAGGUAACGGCUCACCUAGGCGACGAUACAUAGCCGACCUGAGAGGGUGAUCGGCCACACUGGGACUGAGACACGGCCCAGACUCCUACGGGAGGCAGCAGUAGGGAAUCUUCGGCAAUGGACGAAAGUCUGACCGAGCAACGCCGCGUGAGUGAAGAAGGUUUUCGGAUCGUAAAGCUCUGUUGUAAGAGAAGAACGAGUGUGAGAGUGGAAAGUUCACACUGUGACGGUAUCUUACCAGAAAGGGACGGCUAACUACGU